GACGUAGGGUGCAAGCGUUAAUCGGAAUUACUGGGCGUAAAGCGUGCGCAGGCGGCUUUGCAAGACAGAUGUGAAAUCCCCGGGCUCAACCUGGGAACUGCAUUUGUGACUGCAUGGCUGGAGUGCGGCAGAGGGGGAUGGAAUUCCGCGUGUAGCAGUGAAAUGCGUAGAUAUGCGGAGGAACACCGAUGGCGAAGGCAAUCCCCUGGGCCUGCACUGACGCUCAUGCACGAAAGCGUGGGGAGCAAACAGG
Molecule: ribosomal RNA, 253 nt
Filed under: uncultured bacterium
Lineage: Bacteria
Description: partial 16S ribosomal RNA
Rfam family: Bacterial small subunit ribosomal RNA
Source: RNAcentral